AUGAUCCAUCCAAAGAAGCUUGCUCAGCUCGUCAAGAAGUGCCAACGGAUGUUGGCAGCUGGAGCCGGUGCCCGCCGUCGGCAUGCCUCAGCCGAUGAUGAAUGCUGCAGUACAGCAUCUGUGGCUGCUGAUGAGGGCCACUGCGUGAUGUACACCACCGAUGGAGCACGGUUCGAGGUCCCUCUGGCAUACCUCGGGACGACGGUGUUCGCUGAGCUCCUGAGGAUGUCCGAGGAGGAGUUUGGCUUCACGAGUGGCGGCGACGGAGGCAGGAUCAUGCUGCCCUGCGACGCCACGGUGAUGGGAGUAUGUCUUGUGCCUGGUCAGGAAAGAGGCCUCCGAGGAGGUCGAGAAGGCGUUCUUGAGCUCCAUUGCUGGGCACUGUCACAACUACAAUGCUAG
RNAcentral lists this ribosomal RNA (402 nucleotides) under Triticum aestivum (bread wheat). RNAcentral describes it as "partial small subunit ribosomal RNA". The record is from RNAcentral. Lineage: Eukaryota; Viridiplantae; Streptophyta; Magnoliopsida; Poales; Poaceae.